Oncorhynchus gorbuscha (pink salmon) is the source of this 7002-nucleotide RNA transcript. It is a transcript of the gene named myosin VIIA and Rab interacting protein b, with no coding region annotated. NCBI's taxonomy places the organism in Eukaryota, Metazoa, Chordata, Actinopteri, Salmoniformes, Salmonidae. The record is from RefSeq and is a predicted model, not a curated record. The transcript has 16 exons.
CUGCGGUAGCAGGGCUCGCGCUGCCUCCUCGAGUACCGGUGUCGGCUUGAGGCUCUCUGAUUGGCUAUCUCACAGCAUGCCCAGGUGCUGACAAGAGGAUGGAAUCAGCAGCUGGAUCUCACCGCGUUGCAUGACAGAGACACCGAGAACAAGGUGCGCCUGGUUAUCUUUCCAGUUUUAUGCUUACCCAGAUAUUUUUUUGAAAUUGGCAGGAGAAUCAUCAACACAAGGAGAACAACUAUACGUAAAGUCUCACCUCAGCGGGUCUGCGCCCUCUCACUCUAAUCCAAACCUCGUGACUCUUCUACGGUUCCUGCUGCAACCGCUGCGUAGGGAAAACAACCCGAAGGCAAGGCAGUCAAAGUAUCUGAGAGACAUAUCUGGAGGAAGUUUACCCUUGUACACGUAUCUGAACGCAUCCUCCCACGUUGUGUGUCUGGGAGAGCGCUCUGUUUGGAGUCUGUAGCUGGCGGUCAUCCGGCGCCCAUUGAUCUCGUGGUUGUCCCUGCCCCGGCCUCCCGAGUGCCCCCCUGCAGCAGUACCCCGUGGCGUUGGCAAGGCCAGGAGAGAUGGGGCGCAAGCUGGACCUGUCGGGCUUGACGGACAAUGAGGCAGAGCACGUGCUGAAGGUGGUGCAGAGGGACAUGAAGCUGAGGAAGAAGGAGGAGGACAGGCUCAGUGAGAUGAAGCAGGAGCUGGCGGAGGAAGGCAGCAGAUGCUCCGUCCUCUCCAAGCAGCCCCGCUUCAACGAGCGCUGCUGCAUCCGCUGCUGCUCUCCCUUCACCUUCCUGGUCAACCCCAAGCGCCCGUGUCUGGACUGCCAGUACAACGUCUGCAAGUCCUGCCGCACCUACAGCAAGCAGGAGAAAGCUUGGCUCUGCGCCGCCUGCCAGAAGACCAGGAUAUUGAGGACCCAGUCUCUGGAAUGGUACUAUAACAACUUGAAGAGCCGCUUCAAGAGGUUCGGCAGUGCCAAGGUUCUGAAGACGCUCUACAGGAAUCACAUAGUGGAGAGAGGAGGCAACUCUGAUCUACCAGAAAGCAGUGUUCACGACGGAAGCAAUGGCAACGAUGGCAGCGUGUGUGGCAGUGACUCCACCUUCUACAGGCAGAGUGAAGGACACAGCAUGGCAGAGACCCUCACUGUUGCCCUGCGUGUUGCUGAGGAGGCCAUAGAGGAAGCCAUUGCCAAUGCAGAGGAGUUUACUGACAGCUUGGAGAAGCAGAAUGAAGCUUGCUACCUACGGGACCACAAAGAGGAGCUUAUAGAGGAACUUGCCACGACCAUCGUACAAAAAGUACGUUUAGAGUCUGGUGUGGAGUUUUCGGUCACAUCUAACAUUGCCCUCUCUCUCUCGCUCUUGCUCCGCUCCUCUCCUUUCCUCUCCCAGAUCAUCCAGAGGAGGAAGCGUUCAGAGAUGCAGACAGAGUAUGACUUUGUUUGGCCCCAGAGCCAGGGCCAGCCCCAGGGCAGUGAGAUGUCCUCCCCCAGCCAGCCCCCUCACAGCACCCUGGCCCAGGCCAACCAGGCCCACCUCAAGAGUUCCUAUUCCCUCUGGAGGUCGCGAUCUGCGUUCUCCCUGACCAGUGACGAUUCUCCAGAGAAGAACACCGAGGCACUAGUAGGGGCGGGGGGAAGUGGAGAGGUACAGGACUACGCCUCUCUGAAGAAGGAGACCGCCAGGGCCUCCUCACUGCCCAGCUGGAAGAAUGUGGACCGCCUGGACAACUCCAGUGCGUCCUCGGUGCUGCAGAGCCCGGACGGUAACUGGAUCGCUCUGCAGAGCUCUCAGCACUCCCGUCCCAGCCUGCUGACCAAGAGAAAGUCUCUGGUGUUCAGCGUCCUGGAGAAAGAGUCCGACGUGGUCUCGGCCUACGACGAGAUGGGCCCCGAAUCCGACCAGGAGGACGACAAGGGGGGCUGGGGGGCCGCGCUGCGCCAGUUCCAACGGAAACUCUCCGACGAGACGUACUACACGGACUCCCAGCACGACCCUGAGUGGACGUACACCCCGGUCCACCUCCCGGUCACAUCGCCCUCUUCGGGCCAGUACACCAACAUCGAGACCCUCAACUCUGACUCAGAGUGUUCCUCUGUACCCCCCACCCGACCAGGCAAACCCCUCCAGAACGUAAUGACGAAGACAGGCCCUAACCAGGACCCGUAUCUUCAUCCCCAGCAAGCUCAGUACCACCAUCAUCAGCAUCAACACCAGAACCCCCCUUUGUACUCGCUCCACCCGGAGGCGCUGGAUGUGAACUUUAACCCCAAGGUGACUGGGGACAGUGGGCAAAGCAACCACGUCAGGAGGUCGCGGAGACGCAGGAAGAGCAAGAGGGAGCUGGCGGGGAACCAGGCCCACGCACAGACACACACACAACCACUUUAUUCGUCAUCUGCACAGGAGAACAGUUUCCUGCUGAACGCCCUGCUGAAGAGUGGCAUGAGUGAGGAGAUGCCUGGGCCUGACGUGGGGCCCGUGCCCGAGACCUCCUCUGCGGUCAUGACCCCCGAGCCCAAGAACCAGGACACUGUGGCCCCUAACUCUGCGGCCCCCAGCUCCCCUAACUGCAUGGCCCCUGGCCCACUGUCCCCCAGCAGCUCUGGGCCCGGCUCGGGAGACACACUGGAGCAGGAGCUCUACUCCAAACUGGGCCAGCUGGUUGGACGAGCCAGCAGCGAGGAAGUAGCGAGCUCGUCCGAGGAUGAGCCAAUCAAAAGCCCCGUAAAGAGAGACAGAGAAAGCGACAGACAGAAAGAGAAGCUGAGGCAGAUUGAGAGAGAGCGAGAUCCCCAGGCACAAAGUGAGAGACAGAGCAGUAAAAGUAGGGAUAGGACGAAGCGAGAGACGUUUGAGUCAGUGAACGGGCCGGAACUGAAAAAGAGAGAGCGACUAAGGGAAUGUCUGACAUUGAGACAGGAGGAGAGAGUGAAGGAGAGGAGGUUGGAGAGAGGAGGAAAGAGUUUGGAAGAGAAAGUAGAUGGCAGGGAAAAUAAGACAGUGGAGAAGAACAGGCAAAGUAAGAAACUACAGAGAAAAGAGGUGGACAGAGAGACCGAAAGAAAGGGGGAAGAAGUGGAAGACCGAAACGAAAAGACAGGAUCCACGCCCUCCUCGCCUGCAAUUACCCCAUCUAUCCAGGAAGGGGUGCUGUGUGACGGACAGAAGUACUCGGCCGCAUCGCUGUGCAGUAUCACCACAGAGGUACUGAAGGUGCUCAACGCCACAGAGGAACUGAUUGGUGAGGCGGGGGGCGAUAGUGUCACCCCCUCUGAGUGCAUGAGCGCGUCUGAGUCCUUCCUCAGUAACUUAGAGACCAGGAAGCUGGACCAGAAACUCACCAAGAUGGAGGAAAACGUGUACAUGGCUGCGGGGGCGGUGUACGGCCUGGAGGGGUCACUGGGGGACCUGGAGAAGGUGGCCCGAGGCAUCAGCAGUGGCACCUCAGACAGAGACCUGGCCUUCCUGGAGGACCAGGUGGCCACUGCUGCCGCCCAGGUGCAGCAGUCUGAGCUCCAGGUAUCAGACAUCGAGGAGAGGAUACUAUCCCUAAAAACAGCUGGACUGAAUGUCACCGCCUGCAAUCGUUUCUCCAACUUCUCCAAGCCAAGACCUACGCCUCAAACCCUUGACACAUCACGCCAACAGAGGAGAAAACUACCUGCCCCUCCGGUCAAAGGUACAACAUAACUUUGAGCAUGACUGAGGCAGAUGCGGAGCGACUCAAGUUUCGUCAUCGGGUAAGAAGAGGUGUACCCUCUCUGAUAAGGAGUCUGAGCAGCAGGUAACAGCACUUCAUCCGUAGCGACAGACAGAAAGCACAAAGAGUCCCUCAGGGGCCCCGCACGGUCUCUCCACUCCAGUGCCUUGAUCCAGCGUCUGCCUUGGGCUAUGCAGGGGCCAACACCUGCCCUGUGCACCCCACCCAGCGCUCUCCUCAGCCAGGCACGGCCCCAUCCAGUCACCCCCCUGAAUAUCUCCAGACCCCCUUCCCUGCCUCCCCCAGCCCAGGACCGACUCAUUCAACCCCUGUCCCAACCUACUCCAUCAGCCCCCUGGGCCUCAUUCACUGUAAUUACCACACCACAACGCUCACAACAGGGUGGUUUGAUAGACGACGUGUCUCUGCCUUAAAAUCAGCGAACGAACACUCCUCGCCCGAGACAACUCACUGUCCUACUGUCAAAAGAAGACCUAACUUCAAAGUCCUUGUACAGAAAAUAAGAAAACCUCUGUCAGUCUUUUUUUUUCUAACUGUUUGCAAGGGUGUCGUAGGUGUUUGAAGAUGUGAAAAACCAUGUGAAAACUUCUGUGAUGAAUGUCCCAAAAGAGGCUGAACCAUGUUUUAUAUUACUUGUUGUUUCUCUCGCUGAUGAAAUGUCAUGAUGAAUUGCCGAGCACCUACAGAACCUGUUCAAUGUUGUUGCUGUAUUAUCAUUUCUGUGUACAGACUCAAACGUAAUCAUUUCCUUGAACUAGCAUUUACAACAAUCCUCAUUCACGACGCUCUGGUCUGACGUGUUUUGGAAUUUUAGAUGAGAGGUUCACUUUAAGAAACAUCUGGCGUCCUCUCCUGUUCCUUGAAUGAAUCAUUUACAUGAAGGUAACAGGUAAACACACCUCCAUCUUUUCACGGUGGCGAUUCUGAGACGAGCUCGUUACUCUAGCGCGUAGUUACCGUGUUUCGAGAAAGAUUCACGACAUUGCUCGGCCCACACAAUGACAGUUUAUGUCAUGUCUGUUUUGUAAGGCCAAAAUAACCUCCAUCGACAGGCUGCGAGACUUUGGCAUCUGUCUCCGGGGAGACCCAAGGCCAAAAUAAUGCAAGGCACAAUAUUUAGUUACAUGAACAAAUAAUGAAACGUUUAUCACACAAAUGGUCUACCUAUGAUAUAAAGUAUAUGUAAAGCAUUUAGGAACCGAAAGAAGCCCGACAUUAGAAUAAAUGGACACGUUUCUUAACCAAACAAAAACAUCUCUGUACGACAUCUUCACCGUUCUGUUUUUUUUUUCAUGAAUAUGUUUCAUCCUAUAGCUAGAGGACUCCUGAUAUCUCCAGGAGUAAUACAUCAAAUGUGUGUCUUUAUCUGUUGUCUAGUACUGUCUUUUUGCUAUGGCUAGGGCCGUCUACUUGAUAUCUGUCUUCCCAGUAGCAUACUUGGGUGUGUGAACUGUUAACUGCUCAUAACUUGCAGAUGAUGGUUGACACAUUAACUAGGUUUAAAGGACAGGGCGAUUUGCGCGUGAACUAAUACUCACACCCGGAUUUAUUUUCCUACUAGCACUGACAUUGCUGAUAGCUACUUUAUUGAGGAAAAAUACAUGUACUAUGACUGAGGUAUUUGGCUGUUGCAACUAGCUAUCUGAAGAUCAAUGCACUUAACUGUAGGUCUCUGGAUAAGAGCGUCUGCUAGAUGACAACAACUUCAAAUGUAAUUUUUUGCUUGUUCUUUUUAUGUUUAAUUGGUUUCAGCUUUGUGGCCUUUACUUGGCGUACAUUUUGAUUUCUCUCCUGUGCUCUAUGGCUCCAAUAAUUAAUUGUGCGUUGUGUUAAAUAUCUUGUAAAGAUUUAUACAUAAUGAAGUCUACUGGGCUUUAUGACAAAAUGCCAUGAAAAGCAUGAUUUUAUUUUUGUACUUUUGAAGAUUGUUAUUACGCAGUUCUUUUCACUAAAACAAAGUGGGCGGAAACCGGCCUAGGCUUUAUUCUCCUCCUCCGAAAGGUUUUCUCAUCAGUUAAGUCUGAAACCGUGUCAUGUUUCCUUCUUCAAAGUGCUUUACAUGUAUGCCUGCAUUAAUUGUCGGAAAAUGUGUGAUUUUAAUGGGGAUGAUGGUAUUCAUAUUCAUGAUAACGUGGGAGAUGUGAUAAAUAACAGUUGAUGCAGUGUCUGGUAUUACUCCAAUGACCAAGGGGAGAGUCUGGAAUGCCAGGCCUGUUUUUUUUCAGAGUAGGAGUGCUGAUCUAGGAUCAGGCUUUCCCUGUCCAUGUAACCAUAUUCAUUGUGAUCUACAACACAAAAUGGAUCCUAGAUCAGCACUUCUACUCUUGAGAUACUCUGAGAGGCCCUGGUCUUUAUAUUGAAAAGAUCAGAUAGUAUAUUAAUAUAGAGGAGAGGAAAUACAGUGUUGAGGAAUUCUGUUCCUUAGUAAUUACAGGUAAAAUAGUAUGACGUUUGCGCUGGUUCAGGUUGUUACGUGCAGCCUGACCUUUCUUCAAGCCGCACCUAUCAGGUGGGGUCCUGUUGUGGCUCAGUUGGUAGAGCAUGACACUUGCAAUGCUAGGGUUGUGGGUUCAAUUCCCACGGGGGACCAGUAUGAAGUUGCUCUGGAUAAGAGCGUCUACUAAAGGACAAUAAGAAUAAUAUGUAACGCCCUGUACCGGAGCUAGUGACACAGGUUAUUCCCAUACCUAUGGACUUCUGUUAUAUUUAUAUUAUAUUUGAACACUGUCCACUGGUGAGUCCUUCCAUCCAUCCUAUGAUCCCAUUUUGCAGGUUGUGCAUAUCGUUUCCUGUAUGUCGUCGUUGUUCCUGGAUGUGUGUUGUGUAUCAACGCAUGUUUCUGGUUUGAAAUAGAUGUACAAAAUUCGAGAAGCACAGCCAAGGGGUUCAUUAUUAUCAAUGUCCUGUAUUUUUCUAUUGUAAAAAAAAAGAUAUUUUAUCUCACCUCCUAAUUUGUUUAUAUAUAUAUAUAUAUAAAAAUAUAUAUAUCCAUAUAUAUGUAAAAAAAAAAUGGAUAUGACAUAAGAUAAUUGCCCAAUCAUAAACUUGAUCCUUCUGUGUUGUCUGCGGGAGGCAGCCAGCUGUCUAUGUUCCUCGGCCGCAGUGAAGUUCACUUUGCACACCUCUGAUGAAUUAUUCACUCAUAUGCGCAAUCGUUUGUUGCAGUUCAUAUCAUGUGUCGGGGAAAAAAUAUUAAGAAGCAGAAAAUACAGAUUCUCUAUGUGCCAAAUUGCUCUGAUUGAGAAAAAGUGUAAUACUGAUUGAAUAAAGUUUGCACCU